RNAcentral lists this ribosomal RNA (1036 nucleotides) under Brevibacterium mcbrellneri ATCC 49030. RNAcentral's name for it is "23S ribosomal RNA". Lineage: Bacteria; Bacillati; Actinomycetota; Actinomycetes; Micrococcales; Brevibacteriaceae. The record is from RNAcentral.
GGCUCUUCACGAACGAGGGUGUAGCGCGGGUCUGAACCCUCCGGCUUCGAGCAGCGACCGAGCGAUGUAGUGGGUGAGGUUGCGGAAGCCGAGGGCGGAGCCGCGGAGGUGUUCGAGUCGCCCGUUGAUGGCCUCGGUCGGGCCGUUGCUGGUGCCUGGGCGGUCGAAGAACGCGAGGAUGUCGCCCGCCCGCUGCUUCAUGGUCCGGCCGAGCUUGCGGACCUCGACGAGCGCCGCGGGAACGCCGCUGCUGAUCGCAGCGAUCACCUCCUGCAUCAUCGCCUUCGCUUUCUUCUUGUCGGGCUCCCGGUAGGCCGCGACGAUGCGCUGGUAGAUGCCCCAGGUCGCCUCGACCUCGACGUGCUCCUCGCUCGCGAACACUGCGUCCAGGCGUGCCCGCUGCCGGUCGGUGAGCAGGCUCGCCCCGGUGUGCAGGGUGCGGCGGGCUUUGUAGAGCGGGUCGCCCUUGAGCCCGCGGUGACCGGUGGUGUCUUGCUGGACCCGACGCCGGCAGACAUCCAGCGCGUCGCCGGCGAGGCGGACCACGUGGAACGGGUCCAUGACGGGGACGGCGUCGGGGAGUUCCUCGGCGGCAGCGGUCUUGAACCCGGCGAAGCCGUCCAUCGCGACCACCUCGAUCCGCUUCGCCCAGUCCGCAGGGCGGGCGGCGAGCCACUGCUUGAACACCGCCUUGGAGCGGCCCUCGACCAUGUCCAGCAGCCUCGCCGGCCCGGUCUUGUUCCUCGCGGGCGUGAGGUCGAUGAUCACGGUGACGUACUUGUCGCCCAGCCUCGUGUGUCGCCAGACGUGCUCGUCGACACCGAUCGUGGUGACCCCGUCGAACCGGGCGGGGUCGUCGAUCAGGCGCCGCUUGCCUUCCGCGAGGACGGCGGCGUUCGCGGCACUCCAGGACACCCCGAGACCUGCGGCGACGCGGGUGACGGUGAGGUGGUCGAUGACGAUGCCCCGCAGCGCCCACUCCAGGCCGCCGCGGGAGAUCUUCGCACGCGGCGCCGCUGCCCGCGUCAUGUCCUGC